Molecule: ribosomal RNA, 446 nt
Filed under: uncultured bacterium
Lineage: Bacteria
Description: partial 16S ribosomal RNA
Rfam family: Bacterial small subunit ribosomal RNA
Source: RNAcentral
CCUACGGGUGGCAGCAGUCGAGAAUCAUUCACAAUGGGGGAAACCCUGAUGGUGCGACGCCGCGUGGGGGAAUGAAGGUCUUCGGAUUGUAAACCCCUGUCAUGUGGGAGCAAAUUAAAAAGAUAGUACCACAAGAGGAAGAGACGGCUAACUCGGUGCCAGCAGCCGCGGUAAUACAGAGGCCUCAAGCGUUGUUCGGAAUCACUGGGCGUAAAGCGUGCGUAGACUGUUUUGUAAGUCGUGUGUGAAAGGCGGGGGCUCAACCCGCGGACGGCACAUGAUACUGCGAGACUAGAGUAAUGGAGGGGGAACCGGAAUUCUCGGUGUAGCAGUGAAAUGCGUAGAUAUCGAGAGGAACACUCGUGGCGAAGGCGGGUUCCUGGACAGUAACUGACGCUGAGGCACGAAGGCCAGGGGAGCGAAAGGGAUUAGAUACCCCAGUAGUC